RNAcentral lists this ribosomal RNA (479 nucleotides) under uncultured bacterium. Its description in RNAcentral is "bacterial SSU rRNA". It matches the Rfam family "Bacterial small subunit ribosomal RNA", at positions 28 to 498 of the family's 1533-position model. The record is from RNAcentral.
GAUUAACGCUAGCGGCAGGCAUAAUACAUGCAAGUUGAACGAGAUUAGUUUUAGCAAUAGAACUAGUUUAGUGGCGCACGGGUGCGUAACGCGUAUGCAACCUACCUUAAACAGGGGAAUAGCCUCUCGAAAGAGAGAUUAAUACCGCAUAAUAUAUAUUUAAUGCAUAUUAGAUAUAUUAAACCUACGGGGGUUUAAGAUGGGCAUGCGUGACAUUAGCUAGUUGGUGAGGUAACGGCUCACCAAGGCAACGAUGUCUAGGGGUCUGAGAGGAUGUCCCCCCACACUGGUACUGAGACACGGACCAGACUCCUACGGGAGGCAGCAGUAGGGAAUAUUGGUCAAUGGGGGGCAACCCUGAACCAGCCAUGCCGCGUGCAGGAAUAAGGCCCCUAAUGGGGUCGUAAAACCUGCUUUUGAACGGAGAAAUCUAUUUACGUGUAAAUAGUUAGACGGUACCGUUAGAAUAAGGAUCGGCU